Molecule: ribosomal RNA, 321 nt
Filed under: Triticum aestivum (bread wheat)
Lineage: Eukaryota; Viridiplantae; Streptophyta; Magnoliopsida; Poales; Poaceae
Description: partial small subunit ribosomal RNA
Source: RNAcentral
AUGGAACAGCUAUCUGAUGGAGGGCAAUCAGAGGGAGAGACACUAGAGGAUGGCGAUGGCUUUGAGAACCUUAUGUUGCUCAAUAUGAUGAAUUUCAUGGGGCGCGACAAUGAGAUGCAGCUAGUAAGCCUUGUGGUGAAGAAGUCUACUAGUCUCAAGCAACUGAUACUAUUUACUCCCAAGAUUAAUUACCUAGAAGAGCUCCAGAAGGAUCAUAUGAAUACUUGCCAUUUUCUUGAAAGAAAAAAACUAUGGCCUCUCAGAAAGGCCUCACCAAGUACAAUCCAACCGUUGCACGAGGCUUUUGUCAAGAUUUACUGA